CCCGUGAACCUUUACUAUAGCUUGACACUGAACAUUGAGCCUUGAUGUGUAGGAUAGGUGGGAGGCUUUGAAGUGUGGACGCCAGUCUGCAUGGAGCCGGCCUUGAAAUACCACCCUUUAAUGUUUGAUGUUCUAACGUUGACCCGUGAUCCGGGUUGCGGACAGUGUCUGGUGGGUAGUUUGACUGGGGCGGUCUCCUCCUAAAGAGUAACGGAGGAGCACGAAGGUUGGCUAAUCCUGGUCGGACAUCAGGAGGUUAGUGCAAUGGCAUAAGCCAGCUUGACUGCGAGCGUGACGGCGCGAGCAGGUGCGAAAGCAGGUCAUAGUGAUCCGGUGGUUCUGAAUGGAAGGGCCAUCGCUCAACGGAUAAAAGGUACUCCGGGGAUAACAGGCUGAUACCGCCCAAGAGUUCAUAUCGACGGCGGUGUUUGGCACCUCGAUGUCGGCUCAUCACAUCCUGGGGCUGAAGUAGGUCCCAAGGGUAUGGCUGUUCGCCAUUUAAAGUGGUACGCGAGCUGGGUUUAGAACGUCGUGAGACAGUUCGGUCCCUAUCUGCCGUGGGCGCUGGAGAACUGAGGGGGGCUGCUCCUAGUACGAGAGGACCGGAGUGGACGCAUCACUGGUGUUCGGGUUGUCAUGCCAAUGGCACUGCCCGGUAGCUAAAUGCGGAAGAGAUAAGUGCUGAAAGCAUCUAAGCACGAAACUUGCCCCGAGAUGAGUUCUCCCUGACUCCUUGAGAGUCCUGAAGGAACGUUGAAGACGACGACGUUGAUAGGCCGGGUGUGUAAGCGCAGCGAUGCGUUGAGCUAACCGGUACUAAUGAACCGUGAGG
This 832-nucleotide ribosomal RNA is filed under the name Escherichia coli. RNAcentral's name for it is "partial 23S ribosomal RNA". It matches the Rfam family "Bacterial large subunit ribosomal RNA", at positions 2090 to 2916 of the family's 2925-position model. Lineage: Bacteria; Pseudomonadati; Pseudomonadota; Gammaproteobacteria; Enterobacterales; Enterobacteriaceae. The record is from RNAcentral.